AAAAACCAUUAAUCUCGCGGCUAGACUACAGUUGGUGCGUAAGAUUUCCAUCGAUUGCUGUCAGUUCGGUGGUCAAGCUACAAUAAACGCCAUGCUUCUGCAAGAAUGUUUUUCGCACGAGUUUGACGUGGGGGUCCUGUUCUAACGGUCAAACUUCACGUGUAAUAAAAAGCUGCUCUCUUUAGCAACAGAAGAAUGCAGAUAAAUAAAGAAAAGUAUGGCUGUGUGAAGUACAGAUGUGCAGAGCGCGCGUUCAUAUGAUGGCUGAGGAGUACCCAUUACAAAUAGUAUCUUCAACAGGGGAAUACUUCCACAGCGCUGGUGUGAAUCAAGUGAAAUCGAGAAUUCUCCUGUUCUAAAAGAAGCCAAAUCCUUGUCAUCACAGGAGACCGAUAGAACUUAAUUGUGACAAUGCACUGCUCUACAAGAUGAGGCGUUGGCUGGACUGUCAACAACAUAAAGUUUAUUAUGAAAUAUUCGUCGUUGGCGAUAGCUGGAUACCUACCAGUACUCCACCAAUUCAGUCAGAUUUGGUGUUGAUGUCCUGCUAUUGUGAAUCACGGGAACCAUUUUUGCAAUAUGAUACUGGCGUAGAAGAGCAGGAAAGUAGGCUAAUAUUCGCCUCGUCAACAGGGUUGCACCUUGCAAAAAUUAGCUAUUAAUCUGGCGAUGACGCGUUUAAAAUUUGUCCA
Molecule: long non-coding RNA, 692 nt
Organism: Macrobrachium nipponense
Lineage: Eukaryota; Metazoa; Arthropoda; Malacostraca; Decapoda; Palaemonidae
Exons: 3
Source: RefSeq, a predicted model, not a curated record